Molecule: ribosomal RNA, 440 nt
Filed under: uncultured bacterium
Lineage: Bacteria
Description: partial 16S ribosomal RNA
Rfam family: Bacterial small subunit ribosomal RNA
Source: RNAcentral
ACUACGGGAGGCAGCAGUGGGGAAUAUUGCACAAUGGGGGAAACCCUGAUGCAGCAACGCCGCGUGAAGGAAGAAGUAUUUCGGUUUGUAAACUCCUAUUAGCAGGGAAGAUAAUGACGGUAUCUAACUAAGAAGCACCGGCUAACUACGUGCCAGCAGCCGCGGUAAUACGUAGGGGGCAAGCGUUACCCGGAUUCACUGGGUGUAAAGGGAGCGUAGGCGGCGUUGCAAGUCAGAUGUGAAAGCCGAGGGCUUAACCACAGGACUGCUUUUGAAACUGUAAGUCUAGAUUGUGGGAGAGGCAGGUGGAAUUCCUGGUGUAGCGGUGAAAUGCGUAGAGAUUAGGAGGAACACCAGUGGCGAAGGCGGCUUGCUGGAAUGUAAAUGACGCUGAGGCUCGAAAGCGUGGGGAGCAAACAGGAUUAGAUACCCGAGUAGUC